AUUGAGCGCUGGCGGCAGGCCUAACACAUGCAAGUCGAGCGGAUGAAGGGAGCUUGCUCCUGGAUUCAGCGGCGGACGGGUGAGUAAUGCCUAGGAAUCUGCCUGGUAGUGGGGGAUAACGUCCGGAAACGGGCGCUAAUACCGCAUACGUCCUGAGGGAGAAAGUGGGGGAUCUUCGGACCUCACGCUAUCAGAUGAGCCUAGGUCGGAUUAGCUAGUUGGUGGGGUAAAGGCCUACCAAGGCGACGAUCCGUAACUGGUCUGAGAGGAUGAUCAGUCACACUGGAACUGAGACACGGUCCAGACUCCUACGGGAGGCAGCAGUGGGGAAUAUUGGACAAUGGGCGAAAGCCUGAUCCAGCCAUGCCGCGUGUGUGAAGAAGGUCUUCGGAUUGUAAAGCACUUUAAGUUGGGAGGAAGGGCAGUAAGUUAAUACCUUGCUGUUUUAACGUUACCAACAGAAUAAGCACCGGCUAACUUCGUG
This 484-nucleotide ribosomal RNA is filed under the name uncultured bacterium. RNAcentral's name for it is "partial 16S ribosomal RNA". It matches the Rfam family "Bacterial small subunit ribosomal RNA", at positions 30 to 507 of the family's 1533-position model. The record is from RNAcentral.